Molecule: long non-coding RNA, 251 nt
Filed under: Elaeis guineensis (African oil palm)
Lineage: Eukaryota; Viridiplantae; Streptophyta; Magnoliopsida; Arecales; Arecaceae
Description: long non-coding RNA (EGUI_LNC070067)
Source: RNAcentral
AACUCUUGCAUCUAGGAUUGACUCUUAAAGUAUAUAAAAAUUGUUGCCUUCUAUUUUUAGCUUGUGACUGGGGUCGACUCCUGCAUAUCUGGGGUUGACUCUUAGGAUUCUAGAUUGACUCUUCAUCAUCUGGGGCCAACUCUUCAACUUGAAAUCUUCUAAAAUACUUCUUCAACUUUGAAACUUGCUCUUCUAGGAUUCUCUAUAGCUUUCUUAACUUUUUAAACUCAAACUCAAAGAUUCAAAUUUUG